This 505-nucleotide ribosomal RNA is filed under the name uncultured bacterium. RNAcentral's name for it is "bacterial SSU rRNA". It matches the Rfam family "Bacterial small subunit ribosomal RNA", at positions 28 to 492 of the family's 1533-position model. The record is from RNAcentral.
GACGAACGCUGGCGGCGUGCCUAAUACAUGCAAGUCGAACGCACUCUCGUUUAGAUUGAAGGAGCUUGCUCCUGAUUGAUAAACAUUUGAGUGAGUGGCGGACGGGUGAGUAACACGUGGGUAACCUGCCCUAAAGUGGGGGAUAACAUUUGGAAACAGAUGCUAAUACCGCAUAAAACCUAACACCGCAUGGUGUAGGGUUGAAAGAUGGUUUCGGCUAUCACUUUAGGAUGGACCCGCGGUGCAUUAGUUAGUUGGUGAGGUAAAGGCUCACCAAGACCGUGAUGCAUAGCCGACCUGAGAGGGUAAUCGGCCACACUGGGACUGAGACACGGCCCAGACUCCUACGGGAGGCAGCAGUAGGGAAUCUUCCACAAUGGACGAAAGUCUGAUGGAGCAACGCCGCGUGAGUGAAGAAGGUUUUCGGACCGUAAAACUCUGUUGUUGGAGAAGAAUGUAUCUGAUAGUAACUGAUCAGGUAGUGACGGUAUCCAACCAGAAAGCC